Molecule: ribosomal RNA, 446 nt
Filed under: uncultured bacterium
Lineage: Bacteria
Description: partial 16S ribosomal RNA
Rfam family: Bacterial small subunit ribosomal RNA
Source: RNAcentral
GUAGGGAAUAUUGGACAAUGGGGGGAACCCUGAUCCAGCCAUGCCGCGUGGAGGAAGACUGCCCUCUGGGUUGUAAACUCCUUUUAUAUGGGAAGAACCGUCCUCAUUAAUGAGUGACCUGACGGUACCAUAGGAAUAAGCACCGGCUAACUCCGUGCCAGCAGCCGCGGUAAUACGGAGGGUGCAAGCGUUAUCCGGAUUCACUGGGUUUAAAGGGUGCGUAGGCGGAUAAAUAAGUCAGUGGUGAAAUCACCGGGCUCAACCUGUUAACUGCCAUUGAUAAUGUGUAUCUUGAAUAUGAGAGAGGUAGGCGGAAUGUUGCAUGUAGCGGUGAAAUGCUUAGAUAUGCUACGGAACACCGAUUGCGAAGGCAGCUUACUAUUUCGUAAUUGACGCUGAGGCACGAAAGCGUGGGUAGCGAACAGGAUUAGAAACCCGAGUAGUCC